GACGAACGCUGGCGGCGUGCCUAACACAUGCAAGUCGAGCGAGUGAAUCUCCUUCGGGAGUGAAGCUAGCGGCGGACGGGUGAGUAACACGUGGGCAACCUGCCUCGUAGAGGGGAAUAGCCUUCCGAAAGGAAGAUUAAUACCGCAUAAGAUUGUAGCUUCGCAUGAAGUAGCAAUUAAAGGAGCAAUCCGCUAUGAGAUGGGCCCGCGGCGCAUUAGCUAGUUGGUGAGGUAACGGCUCACCAAGGCGACGAUGCGUAGCCGACCUGAGAGGGUGAUCGGCCACAUUGGGACUGAGACACGGCCCAGACUCCUACGGGAGGCAGCAGUGGGGAAUAUUGCACAAUGGGGAAACCCUGAUGCAGCAACGCCGCGUGAGUGAUGACGGCCUUCGGGUUGUAAAGCUCUGUCUUCAGGGACGAUAAUGACGGUACCUGAGGAGGAAGCCACGGCUAACUACGUGCCAGCCGCCGCGGUAA
Molecule: ribosomal RNA, 479 nt
Filed under: uncultured bacterium
Lineage: Bacteria
Description: partial 16S ribosomal RNA
Rfam family: Bacterial small subunit ribosomal RNA
Source: RNAcentral